GACGAACGCUGGCGGCGUGCUUAACACAUGCAAGUCGAACGGAAAGGCCCUGCUUUUGUGGGGUGCUCGAGUGGCGAACGGGUGAGUAACACGUGAGUAACCUGCCCUUGACUUUGGGAUAACUUCAGGAAACUGGGGCUAAUACCGGAUAGGAGCUCCUGCUGCAUGGUGGGGGUUGGAAAGUUUCGGCGGUUGGGGAUGGACCCGCGGCUUAUCAGCUUGUUGGUGGGGUAGUGGCUUACCAAGGCUUUGACGGGUAGCCGGACUGAGAGGGUGACCGGCCCCAUUGGGACUGAGAUACGGCCCAGACUCCUACGGGAGGCAGCAGUGGGGAAUAUUGCACAAUGGGCGGAAGCCUGAUGCAGCAACGCCGCGUGCGGGAUGACGGCCUUCGGGUUGUAAACCGCUUUCGCCUGUGACGAAGCGUGAGUGACGGUAAUGGGUAAAGAAGCACCGGCUAACUACGUG
Molecule: ribosomal RNA, 468 nt
Filed under: uncultured bacterium
Lineage: Bacteria
Description: partial 16S ribosomal RNA
Rfam family: Bacterial small subunit ribosomal RNA
Source: RNAcentral